GACGAACGCUGGCGGCGUGCUUAACACAUGCAAGUCGAACGGUGAAGCCCUUCGAGGUUGAUCAGUGGCGAACGGGGGAGUAACACGUUAGCAACCUGCCCCGGGCUCUGUGACAACCACUGGAAACGGUGGCUAAUACCGGAUACGACCCGCCUCCGCAUCACGUGUGGGUGGAAAGUUUUUCGGCUGGUGGUGGGCUCGCGGCCUAUCAUCUUGUUGGUGAUGUGAAGGCGCACCAAGGCGACGACGGGUAGCCGGCCUGAGAGGGCGAACGGCCACAAUGGGACUGCGAGACGGCCCAGACUCCUACGGGAGGCAGCAGUGGGGAAUCUUGCCCAAUGGGCGAAAGCCUGAUGCAGCGACGCCGCGUGAGGGAUGACGGCCUUCGGGUUGUAAACCUCUUUCAGCUCCGAAGAAGCGAAAGUGACGGUAGGAGCAGAAGAAGCACCGGCUAACUACGUG
This 462-nucleotide ribosomal RNA is filed under the name uncultured bacterium. RNAcentral describes it as "partial 16S ribosomal RNA". It matches the Rfam family "Bacterial small subunit ribosomal RNA", at positions 28 to 507 of the family's 1533-position model. The record is from RNAcentral.